Molecule: long non-coding RNA, 479 nt
Organism: Cephus cinctus (wheat stem sawfly)
Lineage: Eukaryota; Metazoa; Arthropoda; Insecta; Hymenoptera; Cephidae
Exons: 3
Source: RefSeq, a predicted model, not a curated record
AAUAUUCAUGGGAGCAGCAAGGUACCCCUUGAGUAUUUCAUUCUGCGAAGGGAUGGCAAGUGACAUACGGCAGAGGUCUACCUGGCGGAUGGUGGAAGGCAUCGAGGUGAACGCUGGGAGCCAAUAGUCAAAGAGGAUCCAACGGAAGAGGCCAAUCGGAUGUCAGUAUUAGAAAACGUGAUGCCAGUCGGCUCGCUGCUUACUGCCAUAAACGGUGACAGAUGUCAGUAAACAAGAGGGGCGGCUUUAUCGAGUGGACAAUCACUAUUCACGCUCUUAUACGUGACGGCAGGGGGUUGAAGUUAUGUAGAGAGAGAGAGUGCCGUUUCAAGCCUGGCCACCCUUAAAUCGUCCCGAUCAUCGCGGCGGUAAACACCACCUAUUAUCUGUACUUAACGCGCACCCUGCAGAACCUGUCUCCACCCUCCUUACUACACUACAGCUCAUGCAUGGAAGAGUUCUACAUGUUACACUGGUAC